Rhododendron vialii is the source of this 2300-nucleotide long non-coding RNA. RefSeq lists it as uncharacterized. Lineage: Eukaryota; Viridiplantae; Streptophyta; Magnoliopsida; Ericales; Ericaceae. The transcript has 3 exons. The record is from RefSeq and is a predicted model, not a curated record.
CCUUCAAGUAAGGUCGACCUUACUUUUAGAAAAUGCGGACUUGUAGUGUGAGCCGUUGGAUCUCAUCCAACGGCUGUGAUUUUAAAAAACCACUCGCGAGUAAAAUGCUACCAUGGGUCGGGUAAAGAUGGUCUCGCGGGUAUACUCUGGGUCAACCAAGCAAAAACCCCCCACAGCUUCCACAAUAUGCUUCCCCUCAAAUUAAACGGAGAGAGAGAGAGAGGCAGCAAACAGCAGCCGAUGACGAUCGAACCCACAUAGCUGUUGACAACGAAGACGACCGACAAACAAAGGUCUCUCUCUCUCUCUCUCUCUCUCUCUCUCUCGAUCGCAACAAGGUCACGAAGACGACCGACGAACAGAUCCACGAAGAUCGUCGAAGAAGAGGAACGACGAAGCCCUGACAGAGGUCUCUCUCUGUUCGAAUCGAUGAACAACAACCCACUCAUCCACGACAGAGGUCUCUCUCUCUCUCUCUCUUGAUUGCAGCAAUGUCUGAUUAGGGUUUUUUCCGUUAACAUCGACUGGAUUUUCUUCGAUUCGUUUUGAACGACGAAGCCCUAACCCGCAAGGUGGGUUGCGUGCUGAUAUUCUGCCUGGAGUGGGUGAUUCUGACUCUUGCAUUCUUACUCAAGCACUAUGCAUAUGUGGAAGGUGGUGAUCUUUCUAAGAGGAGUGCAAAGGUACAGCAAGUGGAGGAGGAGGACAUGAAGAACUGGCCAUGGCCCUUCCAAGUCUGGACAUGAUGGGAACUGAAUUUGUAUUUGUGUUGGCAUUUGUAAGAGCACCGAUGGCGACUUUUUUUGUUUACCUUCCAAUAUGCUUGAAGAAUAUUUGAAUUUUGAAGUAGGUCUUGUUAGAAGUUGGCACAUGUAAGAUUGUUGGAGCAUCUUUAAUGGGUUUGGUUUUUUGAAUUGCCUACUUUUAACCAAAUUCAGACAUCCAUUUGGUUUUUUGUAUACUAUCCUCUCAGCUUUCGGUAAACAGAGUAUACUGGUGAUGGAGAAGUUUCUUGAGUGCCAAUGAACUUUACUGAUCAGCUUGGGCUUGGGGCAGUUAAAACUGAAGCAUUGGACGAGAAGAAAUGAAGUUUAAACCAAUAAGCACAACAAUCUAAUGAUCUAUAAAACUUGGUAUUAGACAAGAUGAUCAAUGAAAAUGAAAGUGGUACCGGCCAAUUUAUCUUAGCAAAAAGAAACCACAACAUUUAUGAUACAGAACAUUGUUUGCGCAAACCAAUCAUUCUGAACUAGGUCUGUACAUGAUCUAUUAGUCCAACAAACCACGUUGGUAACCCCUAAACUUGCUGUCAUGUCUCUGUUUGUUAAAUCAAUCCAUUAACCCACAAUCUCAUCUCAGCUUGGUAGAAGCCGCAAGGCUAUAUACUCAUUCACUCUUAAAACCAGCAUCACAUUUCAAGUUCACUUUAUGCAGUAGUGCACCAUUCCAAGUUAAACCAUGGUGACGCAGUCAUAUUUGGGUGGAGCAAUGCACGAUUCUUUGAUAGAUACACCCAAUCUGGUAUUGAACGAAAUAAAAAGAACAAUCAAUGUUGAACAUGAAGGACUGAAACUGAUAUUUCAAUUUGAUCAAGAGCACUCUCAAUUCCAGUCAUCUCAUUCAACUUUUCACUACUAGUUUGAACAUGAAGGACUGCAACUUUUACAAUUGAAGGGAACGUCAUUGAAAAGCAAACCAAUAACAGGAAAGCUACUGCAUUACAAUUUACACUAAGCUUAACAUCAAGAAAUACAUUAACAAUUUCCUUGGGUAAUCAGACGGACAAGAUUUUACAAAGUAAUCAAAAUUCCAUUCUAUUGUUCUUCACUGAGAACAAUCAACGUUCUUCUAUAUCUACAGUUCAAAUCUGAAUCACCGGAGUAGAAAACAUGGACUUCCUCAACCCCUCAAGCCUAUUCGAAUCCCUUUUUUUGCCAAUUCGACCUUAACACCAAGAGAGAGGAGUUAUCUUCUGUGAUCAGCAAGCUACAAAGAAAAUAACCAUUUUGUUUUUUUAAAACAUACUUCUAAAAUACCCUUUUUCUCGAAAAUCCCUAACUCGAAAAAAAAAAAAAACAGAUUUGAGUUGAUUCGAACAGAGAGAGACCUUUGUUAGGGCUUCGUCGUUCGAGUGGGUUAGGGCUUCGUCGUUCCUCUUCUUCGACGAUCUUCAGAGGCCUCUGUUCGUCAGUCGUCUUAGUCGUCAAUGGCUGUGUGGGUUCGAUCGUCAUCGUCAUUGGCUGCUGCUUGCUUCUCUCUCUCUCUCCGUUUGAUUUGAGGGGAAGCAUAUUGUGGAAGCU